This 254-nucleotide ribosomal RNA is filed under the name uncultured bacterium. RNAcentral's name for it is "partial 16S ribosomal RNA". It matches the Rfam family "Bacterial small subunit ribosomal RNA", at positions 524 to 776 of the family's 1533-position model. The record is from RNAcentral.
UACGGAGGGGGCUAGCGUUGUUCGGAAUUACUGGGCGUAAAGGGCGCGUAGGCGGCGCGAUAAGUUGGGCGUGAAAGGCCCGGGCUCAACCCGGGGACUGCGCUUGAUACUGUCGCGCUGUGAGUCCGGGAGAGGAUGGCGGAAUUCCCAGUGUAGAGGUGAAAUUCGUAGAUAUUGGGAGGAACACCAGUGGCGAAGGCGGCUUCCUGGACCGGUUCUGACACUGAGGAGCGAAAGCGUGGGGAGCGAUCCGG